CUAAAGAUGAAAUUGGUAUGUGCUUGAACUUAAGUUCUCCAUGCAAGCUCCUCUCGUUUCACAAAUCUGCACAAGGGAAAUAUCCUAUGCGAUGGCUAUACCUUCACGGCUUCAUUGGGAUAAGAUGAAACGCAAAUGUUUUUAGAAAAGCUGUAAUACUCCAAAAAGCCGGUUGCGAUGUCGUGGAACGACUUCCACCGAAGCGAAGAGGCUUUGCAUACAACAAGAGGAACUUGUUUUCAUCUCGCCAUGAACUGCUCUUUAGGAACCGAAUCUUUCUUUAGGCUUAGUUGUCGUUUCAGUUUUUAGUUUUCCUAAACUUAUCAAAGGGUUACUGAAAGGAUUACCGGAUUGAAACAUUUCUUGAUUAGUACAACGUAAAAGAAACGUACAAUUUGUUGACGUGAGAGCAAGCUUUGGAAAAGAAACAAACGAACAACGCGUAUUGCCAGAGUGAAAAAAAUUGUCGUUUUUUUAACGUAAUCAAAUAUUAUCAUAUUAUCAAAUGUAACGUAUCAUAUACACUUAAAAAACAGAAAAUUAAAAAAUUCGUGUCAUGUUAUAAAAA
This is a long non-coding RNA of Xenia sp. Carnegie-2017, 568 nucleotides long. RefSeq lists it as uncharacterized. The transcript is spliced from 3 exons. The record is from RefSeq and is a predicted model, not a curated record. NCBI's taxonomy places the organism in Eukaryota, Metazoa, Cnidaria, Anthozoa, Malacalcyonacea, Xeniidae.